Molecule: long non-coding RNA, 290 nt
Filed under: Solanum tuberosum (potato)
Lineage: Eukaryota; Viridiplantae; Streptophyta; Magnoliopsida; Solanales; Solanaceae
Description: long non-coding RNA (STUB_LNC000013)
Source: RNAcentral
AAACGUCUAUGGGAUGGUCUGCUGAAGUUAGUUAUGCUAUAAAAAAAUUCUUUAAGAAGUUCUAGUUAAGUUGAAAUCUUAAUCAUCAUACCAGCAGAUUGUAUCUACCAUUUAUAGUUAGAAUGAAACCAUUAAGGUGCAACUUGCAUAGUUAAGAAUAUUCUAAGAAAGGUUGUUCAAGAUAUUCAUAUACAAGGAGAAAUUACAGAAACUACAUAUGAUUUUGUAGCUCCUACUUACAAAUUUAAGCUUCUGACUGUUCAAGUAUUCAAAGCUUCUUAUUACAAUAC